UAUCAAUAAGCGGAGGAAAAGAAACCAACCGGGAUUGCCUUAGUAACGGCGAGUGAAGCGGCAAAAGCUCAAAUUUGAAAUCUGGUACCUUUGGUGCCCGAGUUGUAAUUUGUAGAAGGUAACUUUGGGGCUGGUCCUUGUCUAUGUUCCUUGGAACAGGACGUCAUAGAGGGUGAGAAUCCCGUGUGGCGAGGAUCCCAGUUCUUUGUAAAGUGCUUUCGAAGAGUCGAGUUGUUUGGGAAUGCAGCUCUAAGUGGGUGGUAAAUUCCAUCUAAAGCUAAAUAUUGGCGAGAGACCGAUAGCGAACAAGUACAGUGAUGGAAAGAUGAAAAGAACUUUGAAAAGAGAGUGAAAAAGUACGUGAAAUUGUUGAAAGGGAAGGGCAUUUGAUCAGACAUGGUGUUUUGCGCCCUCUGCUCCUUGUGGGUGGGGGAAUCUCGCAGCUCACUGGGCCAGCAUCGGUUUUGGCGGCAGGAUAAAUCUGCAGGAAUGUAACUUGCCUCGGUAAGUAUUAUAGCCUGUAGGAAUACUGCCAGCUGGGACUGAGGACUGCGACUUUACGUCAAGGAUGCUGGCAUAAUGGUUAUAUGCCG
This 593-nucleotide ribosomal RNA is filed under the name Torulaspora microellipsoides. RNAcentral's name for it is "LSU rRNA". It matches the Rfam family "Eukaryotic large subunit ribosomal RNA", at positions 41 to 647 of the family's 3401-position model. Lineage: Eukaryota; Fungi; Ascomycota; Saccharomycetes; Saccharomycetales; Saccharomycetaceae. The record is from RNAcentral.